This 24-nucleotide non-coding RNA is filed under the name Arabidopsis thaliana (thale cress). The record is from RNAcentral. Lineage: Eukaryota; Viridiplantae; Streptophyta; Magnoliopsida; Brassicales; Brassicaceae.
GACCACCACCACGUUUCCUCCGCC